CCUACGGGUGGCAGCAGUGAGGAAUAUUGGUCAAUGGCCGUAAGGCUGAACCAGCCAAGUCGCGUGAAGGAAGAAGGAUCUAUGGUUUGUAAACUUCUUUUAUAGGGGAAUAAAGUAUCCACGUGUGGAUAUUUGCAUGUACCCUAUGAAUAAGCAUCGGCUAACUCCGUGCCAGCAGCCGCGGUAAUACGGAGGAUGCGAGCGUUAUCCGGAUUUAUUGGGUUUAAAGGGUGCGUAGGUUGUUUUUUAAGUCAGCGGUAAAAUCGAGGGGCUCAACCCCUUUAAGCCGUUGAAACUGGUGAUCUUGAGUGGGCGAGAAGUAUGCGGAAUGCGUGGUGUAGCGGUGAAAUGCAUAGAUAUCACGCAGAACUCCGAUUGCGAAGGCAGCAUACCGGCGCCCGACUGACGCUGAGGCACGAAAGCGUGGGGAUCGAACAGGAUUAGAUACCCGAGUAGUC
Molecule: ribosomal RNA, 458 nt
Filed under: uncultured bacterium
Lineage: Bacteria
Description: partial 16S ribosomal RNA
Rfam family: Bacterial small subunit ribosomal RNA
Source: RNAcentral